UCCCUUCCCUUGCGCGCUCGGUCGAAGAGGACGACCAUCCCCGAUAGAGGAGGACCGUUCUUCGGUCAAGGGUAUAUGAGUAGCUGCGCUCCCCUGCUAGAACCUCCAAACAAGCUCUUAAGGUGCAUUUUUAAAUACAAACAACAAC
RNAcentral lists this small RNA (148 nucleotides) under Canis lupus dingo (dingo). Its description in RNAcentral is "7SK RNA (ENSCAFG00020001850.1)". It matches the Rfam family "7SK RNA", at positions 116 to 273 of the family's 331-position model. Rfam says of the family: 7SK was discovered as an abundant small nuclear RNA in the mid-70s but a possible function has only recently been suggested. Two independent studies have found that 7SK RNA binds the CDK9/cyclin T complex (known as elongation factor P-TEFb). The record is from RNAcentral. Lineage: Eukaryota; Metazoa; Chordata; Mammalia; Carnivora; Canidae.